RNAcentral lists this ribosomal RNA (326 nucleotides) under uncultured eukaryote. RNAcentral describes it as "partial 18S ribosomal RNA". It matches the Rfam family "Eukaryotic small subunit ribosomal RNA", at positions 1470 to 1796 of the family's 1831-position model. The record is from RNAcentral.
CCCUUAGAUGUUCUGGGCCGCACGCGCGCUACACUGAUGCAUUCAACAAGCCUAGCCUUGACCGAGAGGUCCGGGUAAUCAUUGAAACUGCAUCGUGAUGGGGCUAGAUUAUUGCAAUUAUUAAUCUUCAACGAGGAAUGCCUAGUAAGCGUGAUUCAUCAAAUCGCGUUGAUUACGUCCCUGCCCUUUGUACACACCGCCCGUCGCUCCUACCGAUUGAAUGUGUUGGUGAGGAGCUCGGAUUGGCAGCAGUUGGUGGUUCGCCACCGGCUAUUGCUGAGAAGUCCUCCAAACCGCCCCAUUUAGAGGAAGGAGAAGUCGUAACA